AUGCUAGAGGACAUUGGGAAGCUGCCAUCAGUUGACUCCACCAUUACAAAAGCUAGAGCUGUGACGGUUUUCCUUUAUGCACACACAAGGGUUUUGAACCUAAUGAGGGAAUUCCUUAGUAAAGAUUUGGUUAGGUCUGGUAUUACAAGGUUCGCUACAGCAUACUUGAACUUGAAAAGCAUGCUGGACAACAAGAAACAACUCCAGAAACUAUUUAGAUCAGAUGAGCUUGAUGAAAUGGGAUAUUUAAAAAAGGUUAAAGGAAAUGAAGCUAGCAAAACUGUGCGCUCUGAAACUUUUUGGAGAGGAGUAGACAUUGUUGUCAAGUUCUUUGAGCCAUUGGCUAAUUUGCUCGGGAGGAUGGACAGCGAUGUACCGGCUAUGGGAUUCAUAUACGGCGCCUUUUUGGAUGCCAAGCAAGAGAUCAAAACUAAGUUUGAAAAUGAACAAGGAUCUUAUUUUCAGGAAGUGUUGGAUAUUGUGGAUAAAAGAUGGGACAGCAAGUUGAAGGGGCCACUACAUAGGGCUGGAUACUUCUUAAAUCCAUACUACUACUAUGAAAACAAGAAGCAAAUUGAGUUAGAUGGAUCAUUUGAAGCUGGGCUUGUAACUUGCAUGGAAAAAAUGGUUGAAGAUGUUGUCCUUCAAGACAAAAUCAAUGAUGAGCUUGUGGCAUAUCGAAAGGAAUAG
Molecule: ribosomal RNA, 690 nt
Filed under: Triticum aestivum (bread wheat)
Lineage: Eukaryota; Viridiplantae; Streptophyta; Magnoliopsida; Poales; Poaceae
Description: partial small subunit ribosomal RNA
Source: RNAcentral